RNAcentral lists this ribosomal RNA (497 nucleotides) under uncultured bacterium. Its description in RNAcentral is "partial 16S ribosomal RNA". It matches the Rfam family "Bacterial small subunit ribosomal RNA", at positions 28 to 507 of the family's 1533-position model. The record is from RNAcentral.
GAUGAACGCUGGCGGCGUGCCUAAUACAUGCAAGUCGAGCGAACGGACGAGAAGCUUGCUUCUCUGAUGUUACCGGCGGCGGGGUGAGUACCCCGUGGAAACCCACCUUAUAGACCUGGAUUACCUCCGGGAAACGGGAGUUAAUACCGGAUAUUAUUUUGACCCGCUUGGUUCAAAAGUAAAAGACGGUCUUGCUGUCACUUAUAGAUGGAUCCGCGCUGCAUUAGCUAGUUGGUAAGGUAACGGCUUACCAAGGCAACGAUGCAUAGCCGACCUGAGAGGGUGAUCGGCCACACUGGAACUGAGACACGGUCCAGACUCCUACGGGAGGCAGCAGUAGGGAAUCUUCCGCAAUGGGCGAAAGCCUGACGGAGCAACGCCGCGUGAGUGAUGAAGGUCUUCGGAUCGUAAAACUCUGUUAUUAGGGAAGAACAUAUGUGUAAGUAACUGUGCACAUCUUGACGGUACCUAAUCAGAAAGCCACGGCUAACUACGUG